This 253-nucleotide ribosomal RNA is filed under the name uncultured bacterium. Its description in RNAcentral is "partial 16S ribosomal RNA". It matches the Rfam family "Bacterial small subunit ribosomal RNA", at positions 524 to 776 of the family's 1533-position model. The record is from RNAcentral.
UACGAAGGGUGCAAGCGUUACUCGGAAUUACUGGGCGUAAAGCGUGCGUAGGUGGUUUUUUAAGUCCGUUGUGAAAGCCCUGGGCUCAACCUGGGAAUGGCAGUGGAUACUGGAAAGCUAGAGUGCGGUAGAGGGUAGUGGAAUUCCCGGUGUAGCAGUGAAAUGCGUAGAGAUCGGGAGGAACACCAGCGGCGAAGGCGGCUACCUGGACCAGCACUGACACUGAGGCACGAAAGCGUGGGGAGCAAACAGG